Molecule: ribosomal RNA, 547 nt
Filed under: uncultured bacterium
Lineage: Bacteria
Description: bacterial SSU rRNA
Rfam family: Bacterial small subunit ribosomal RNA
Source: RNAcentral
UGGGGAAUAUUGCGCAAUGGGGGGAACCCUGACGCAGCCAUGCCGCGUGAAUGAAGAAGGCCUUAGGGUUGUAAAGUUCUUUCGGUAUUGAGGAAGGUUGAUGUGUUAAUAGCACAUCAAAUUGACGUUAAAUACAGAAGAAGCACCGGCUAACUCCGUGCCAGCAGCCGCGGUAAUACGGAGGGUGCGAGCGUUAAUCGGAAUAACUGAGCGUAAAGGGCACGCAGGCGGUUAUUUAAGUGAGGUGUGAAAGCCCCGGGCUUAACCUGGGAAUUGCAUUUCAGACUGGGUAACUAGAGUACUUUAGGGAGGGGUAGAAUUCCACGUGUAGCGGUGAAAUGCGUAGAGAUGUGGAGGAAUACCGAAGGCGAAGGCAGCCCCUUGGGAAUGUACUGACGCUCAUGUGCGAAAGCGUGGGGAGCAAACAGGAUUAGAUACCCUGGUAGUCCACGCUGUAAACGCUGUCGAUUUGGGGGUUGGGGUUUAACUCUGGCGCCCGUAGCUAACGUGAUAAAUCGACCGCCUGGGGAGUACGGCCGCAAGGUUA